GCGCGCAAAUUACCCAAUCCUGACACGGGGAGGUAGUGACAAUAAAUAACAAUACCGGGCGCGUUAGUGUCUGGUAAUUGGAAUGAGUACAAUCUAAAUCCCUUGACGAGGAUCCAUUGGAGGGCAAGUCUGGUGCCAC
This 139-nucleotide ribosomal RNA is filed under the name uncultured bacterium. Its description in RNAcentral is "partial 16S rRNA". It matches the Rfam family "Eukaryotic small subunit ribosomal RNA", at positions 432 to 570 of the family's 1831-position model. The record is from RNAcentral.